This 253-nucleotide ribosomal RNA is filed under the name uncultured bacterium. RNAcentral's name for it is "partial 16S ribosomal RNA". It matches the Rfam family "Bacterial small subunit ribosomal RNA", at positions 524 to 776 of the family's 1533-position model. The record is from RNAcentral.
UACAGAGGUCCCAAGCGUUGUUCGGAUUCACUGGGCGUAAAGGGUGCGUAGGCGGUCGGGUAAGUCUGAUGUGAAAUCUCACAGCUUAACUGUGAAACUGCAUUGGAUACUAUCCGGCUCGAGGAAUGGAGGGGAGACUGGAAUACUUGGUGUAGCAGUGAAAUGCGUAGAUAUCGGAAGGAACACCUGUGGCGAAAGCGGCUCACUGGACCAUAACUGACGCUGAGGCGCAAAAGCUAGGGGAGCAAACAGG